This 72-nucleotide transfer RNA is filed under the name Bos taurus (domestic cattle). It matches the Rfam family "tRNA". From Rfam's summary of the family: Transfer RNA (tRNA) molecules are approximately 80 nucleotides in length. Their secondary structure includes four short double-helical elements and three loops (D, anti-codon, and T loops). Further hydrogen bonds mediate the characteristic L-shaped molecular structure. tRNAs have two regions of fundamental functional importance: the anti-codon, which is responsible for specific mRNA codon recognition, and the 3' end, to which the tRNAs corresponding amino acid is attached (by aminoacyl-tRNA synthetases). tRNAs cope with the degeneracy of the genetic code in two manners: having more than one tRNA (with a specific anti-codon) for a particular amino acid; and 'wobble' base-pairing, i.e. permitting non-standard base-pairing at the 3rd anti-codon position. Lineage: Eukaryota; Metazoa; Chordata; Mammalia; Artiodactyla; Bovidae. The record is from Rfam by way of RNAcentral. RNAcentral also lists the same sequence under 2 other names.
UCCCUGGUAGCUCAGAUGGUAAAGCGUCUGCCUACAAUGCAGGAGAUCCAGGUUCGAUCCCUGGGUCGGGAA